This is a long non-coding RNA of Felis catus (domestic cat), 969 nucleotides long. RefSeq lists it as uncharacterized. The transcript is spliced from 6 exons. The record is from RefSeq and is a predicted model, not a curated record. Lineage: Eukaryota; Metazoa; Chordata; Mammalia; Carnivora; Felidae.
AAGGAAAAGGGCAUGGGUUUCAGUGUGCCCACGUGGUGUUCCGGCUCCUGCUUGCGGGGUUCUAGCCCGCUUUCGUUAGCUUCCCUUCCUGUCUUAGCGAUUUCGGGCGCCAACGUUGGUCAGGACAGCCGUGUGGACAGUGCCUAACCAGCUCCCCUAAUUGUGCGAGUCCGUUCCUAACAAUUCGGCUGAGCCUGAUCCUCCGUCAUCUGUCAAGCGUAGCUGCCACCAAGAAGCCUCUCAACAGUCCAGGCUGCUUCAGCCUGGGUCACAAGGCUCCAAAGCCAAGAAGUCCAGUGAUAAGUUCCAGACAGCCAUAUACCACAUCAUCCGAGGUCAUGACACCUUGAGGCGCGCGUGGGGCAGAAGCAAUGUCUACCAUAUCAUUUCCAUAAGAAAUAAGAGCUGGAGAAGUUGCUAUUCAGAGAUCAGGAUCAAGAGAGAGAUUCUUCAGGAUGUUGGAAGAAUGUGAACACCAGUAUCAUUUCUGCCUGUGACAUUGAUUUGAGUCUUGGUGGGAACUUUUGGCUCCAUUCAUGCUGACUAGGUCAGCACAUGAAAAGAACAUAAACAUGGAGAGUGGGGCUUAGUGUACUGCACCUGGGAAGGGUGAUGACGGCAGGAUGUCUUCAAGGAGCGACUGACAGACAACUAGGAUGAUUCAGACUUGGGCAUUUGGCAGACAUUUUUUGAAAAAGGAACCAAGCGAGCCUGUCACUUCAAGGAAAACAACUUUCUGAAGACUGGUAUGUCCAGGAUCGAGGUGCUGGCAGAUUUUUUUUUGUCUAGGAAAGGCCUUCAUCCUGGCUCAUAGAUGAUCAUCUCCUUGCUAUGGCCCACGUGGUACAAGGGGCAAGGAAGCUCUCUGGGGUCUUUCUUAUAAGGGCACUAAUCCUGAGGCACCUGGGGGGCUUAGUCAGUUGAGCAUCUGACUCUUGAUUUUGGUUCAGGUCAUGAUCUCACGGUUCA